Syngnathoides biaculeatus (alligator pipefish) is the source of this 1222-nucleotide long non-coding RNA. RefSeq lists it as uncharacterized. The transcript has 6 exons. The record is from RefSeq and is a predicted model, not a curated record. Lineage: Eukaryota; Metazoa; Chordata; Actinopteri; Syngnathiformes; Syngnathidae.
GCGACCAUGUCGUCGACACGUUAUUGUGAUGAGUGGUUCGCGACUUGAUUAUAAGACUUCAAAUUUUAACAACGCGUAGUUCGCUCUGGACGUCUAUUAGUCACCGUCAUCGAAAACGACGUCAUUCCGGUGGUCCUCACAGUUCUUCACCACUUCCAGUACAGUUGCUAAGCGUCUGUCCAAAGCAGCAAGGUGUGGCUCUGACAGAAGGGGAGCGACAGUUGCAAGAGGAUCUUGGGCCAGCGACUGCCGCAUGACAUCACUAAGGCGGAAUUCCGGAUAGGAUAACAGACGCAACCGAAGGAGGGUGGAGCGACGGAUUCUGUGCAGCCCAUCUGCUGCCUCUAGUCCACGGCCCCAUGCCGAGCUUCUUCAAUAGAUCUCACCUUCUUCCCUAUAUCACACACACACCCUACUGUGAUACUGGACUCUGACAAGAAGACAGAUUCUCACCUCUUGUUUCCACAAACGCUGGAAGAGUCUUGGAGAGACCACUCUCUUUGAGGUGGAGUACUCACCUGGCCAGUUUGGUGCGACUGUAUGAUCGUCUCCAUGGCGACCUCCACGACCUGCGCGGGGCAAGGCUGAGGUCAGCUCCACCUUCCUUUCGAGCUCCCAUUCCAAGUCCUCCAUCCUCCAGGGUCUCUCUGCACCAGCUUUGUGCCCAACUACACUUUCUGGGCCACCAGAUUUGCUGCUGUCGUCCACCACUGCUGAGGUGUUUAGGGUCACAAGUAAGAUGUACCCCACUUGAUUUUAAGGAAGAGGAGGAGCACGCUCUGGGUCGGUCACUCGCCAAUCAAGGAGCAACAGCAAUCGACUGUGGGUUAUUUAACGUCUCUAAUGAACCUAACAUUCACGUUUUUUUGGAAUGUGAGAGGAUAACUUGGUAGCCGGAGAAAAGAGUGUAACAAUUGACAACAGUAACAAUCAGUAAGUAGUAAGUACCAACAGCCUGAGCCUCGAUUUUUUUUUUUUUUUUUUUUUAAGUUACAAUGCGGUUUAAAGCCCACGUGACAAGUGUCUGACCGCAUGUGAUGGUUUAAGAUCUCAUUGCCUACUGCAGGAGACAAAGUAUUGAACUCAUGAAAAUAAAAUUUUUCCCAAUAAUUGAAAGCCCCUUUACAUCGAGGGAAACAAUGUCUUCACUCUGCACGUUGAACCCGUUGCUCUGUAUGCAGAAAGCACAAGAACAAAUUGUGAUUUGAGUGGUCCAAACCCG